Long non-coding RNA from Brassica oleracea var. oleracea, 998 nucleotides. RefSeq lists it as uncharacterized. NCBI's taxonomy places the organism in Eukaryota, Viridiplantae, Streptophyta, Magnoliopsida, Brassicales, Brassicaceae. The record is from RefSeq and is a predicted model, not a curated record. The transcript is spliced from 2 exons.
UUCUCCUUAGUCCAUCGAACCUAAUACUGUCUUUUUUAAAUGUUAAUGUAAAAUAAAGAUACGACUUUCUCAAUUGUCUUCACCAAACUCCAUUAUCUCUCCUUCUCAGUAUCUGAAAUUCUAUUUUCUCUUGUUCUCAAUCUCAUAAACAUCAAUUGACCCUGACAACUCCCGCAACGAAACCAAAUUGUUUCAACCUAAUAUGUGGUAUAUAUAUGUUUUUCACCCAUCGUCUCUUAACCACCGCCGAACAACACCUCACACACAUCCUUGUUCCGAGACCAAUUAUGGAUUCGAUUUCAAAAAGACGUAAGGGUGGAUACAGGGUAAUGGAUGUGGAGGAGAGGGAGAGGUGAUGAUGGAGAAGAUGGAAAUAAAAGCUGAGGAGAGUUUGAUUUGUUACUUAACCUGAGACUGGAAUAUUAAAGGGGUUUGGGUUUGUCACUUUCAAGGAUGAUAAAUCCACGAAGAAUUCUAUGGAAGGGAUGAACGGACAUAAGCUUGAUGGUCUCUAUGAGCAAGGCACAGUCUCGUUGAAGCGGUGGCGGUGGAGGGCGUGGUGGAGGCGGUGGUGUUUUGUGUUUAUGUAGAAGGCGGUGGUGGAAAACAUGAGCGUGUAUACAGUGGUGGAAGUGGCUACUUAAGUGGCGGUAGAUACCGCAGUGGAGGCUGUGGUGGUGGAAGACGUGAGGUUGGGGCAUACAGAGGUGGAGGCCGUGUUAAGUGGCGGUAGAUACCGCAGUGGAGGCUGUGGUGGUUGUGGAAGAGGCGGUGGUGGAUACAGAGGUGGAAGACGUGAGGGUGGAUACGGUGCUAUUGGAGAGAGGAAGAGGUGGUGGUUGGGGAUACGAAGGUGGUGAAGGUGGAGGGUACGAAGGAAGUCUUGGUGUUGGUGUUUGGUAAUUAGAUUCAGGUGUUGAGAUUGUUACGAUUGUUUUGUUUGGAUUGUAACAUUUCGAAAUUAAAUAUUUGAUUUUUGAAAAAACAUUAAUAGUUUA